RNAcentral lists this ribosomal RNA (466 nucleotides) under Aspidosiphon steenstrupii. Its description in RNAcentral is "partial 16S ribosomal RNA". It matches the Rfam family "Bacterial large subunit ribosomal RNA", at positions 1818 to 2597 of the family's 2925-position model. Lineage: Eukaryota; Metazoa; Annelida; Sipuncula; Aspidosiphonidormes; Aspidosiphonidae. The record is from RNAcentral.
GGCCUGUAGAAAAGUUAUUAUAGGUUUAGCCUGCCCGGUGAAAUUUUUAACGGCCGCAGUAUUUUAACUGUGCAAAGGUAGCGUAAUCAUUUGUCUUUUAAUAGGGGACUGGUAUGAAUGGUUAAACGAGGACAAAACUGUCUCUUUUAAAUUAUUUGAAGUUGUUUCUAGGUGCAGAAGCCUAAAUAGUAAUAAAAGACGAGAAGACCCUAUGUGCUUUAAUUUUAUUUUAUUUGAGAAUAAUAGUAAAAAUUUUUAUUGGGAAAAUAAAGGAGGAAAAGAAUAAUCCUGUUUAUUACAUUAUCUAAUAGAAGAUUACUGAGGAAAAUAGUAACCGUAGGGAUAACAGACUGAUUUCUUUUGAGAGUACACAUUAACAAAGAAGAUUAGCACCUCGAUGUUGGCUUAGAGAUAUUACUAUGAAGCAGAAAUCUAGUAUAUGGGCUUGUUCAGCCUUUAAAUUUCU